GUUGAACGCUGGCGGCAGGCCUAACACAUGCAAGUCGAACGAGUGGCGGACGGGUGAGUAAUGUUUGGGAAUCAAGCUUAAGGCGGGGGAUAACUCCGGGAAACUGUAGUUAAUACCGCGUACCAUAGGCUGAGCCAAAGUGGGACUGGGUAGUUGGUGAGGUAAAGGAUCACCAAGCCGAAGAUCCCCAGCUGGUCUGAGAGGAUGACCGGCCACACUGGAACUGAGACACGGCCCAGACUCCUACGGGAGGCAGCAGUGGGGAAUAUUGCGCAAUGGGGGCAACCUGACGCAGCCAUGCCGCGUGAAUGAAGAAGGCCUUCGGGUUGUAAAGUUCUUUCAGUAGCGAGGCGUUAACUACAGAGGAAGCACCGGCUAACUCCGUGCCAGCAGCCGCGGUAAUAC
RNAcentral lists this ribosomal RNA (405 nucleotides) under uncultured bacterium. RNAcentral describes it as "partial 16S ribosomal RNA". It matches the Rfam family "Bacterial small subunit ribosomal RNA", at positions 28 to 526 of the family's 1533-position model. The record is from RNAcentral.